GGGCCCGCACAAGCGGUGGAGUAUGUGGUUUAAUUCGAAGCAACGCGCAGAACCUUACCAGCCCUUGACAUCUGGGUCGCGGUUACCGGAGACGGUAACCUUCAGUUAGGCUGGACCCAAGACAGGUGCUGCAUGGCUGUCGUCAGCUCGUGUCGUGAGAUGUUGGGUUAAGUCCCGCAACGAGCGCAACCCUCGCCCUUAGUUGCCAGCCUUAAGUUGGGCACUCUAAGGGGACUGCCGGUGAUAAGCCGAGAGGAAGGUGGGGAUGACGUCAAGUCCUCAUGGCCCUUACGGGCUGGGCUACACACGUGCUACAAUGGUGGUGACAGUGGGCAGCGAGACGGCAACGUCGAGCUAAUCUCCAAAAGCCAUCUCAGUUCGGAUUGGGGUCUGCAACUCGACCCCAUGAAGUUGGAAUCGCUAGUAAUCG
This 430-nucleotide ribosomal RNA is filed under the name uncultured bacterium. Its description in RNAcentral is "bacterial SSU rRNA". It matches the Rfam family "Bacterial small subunit ribosomal RNA", at positions 917 to 1344 of the family's 1533-position model. The record is from RNAcentral.